GGGUUGUGAGGUUAAGCGACUAAGCGUACACGGUGGAUGCCCUGGCAGUCAGAGGCGAUGAAGGACGUGCUAAUCUGCGAAAAGCGUCGGUAAGGUGAUAUGAACCGUUAUAACCGGCGAUGUCCGAAUGGGGAAACCCAGUGCAAUUCGUUGCACUAUCGUUAACUGAAUACAUAGGUUAACGAGGCGAACCGGGGGAACUGAAACAUCUAAGUACCCCGAGGAAAAGAAAUCAACCGAGAUUCCCCCAGUAGCGGCGAGCGAACGGGGAGCAGCCCAGAGUCUGAAUCAGCUUGUGUGUUAGUGGAACGGUCUGGAAAGUCCGACGGUACAGGGUGAUAGUCCCGUACACCAAAAUGCACAGGCUGUGAACUCGAAGAGUAGGGCGGGACACGUGGUAUCCUGUCUGAAUAUGGGGGGACCAUCCUCCAAGGCUAAAUACUCCUGACUGACCGAUAGUGAACCAGUACCGUGAGGGAAAGGCGAAAAGAACCCCGGCGAGGGGAGUGAAAAAGAACCUGAAACCGUGUACGUACAAGCAGUGGGAGCACCUUCGGGUGUGACUGCGUACCUUUUGUAUAAUGGGUCAGCGACUUAUAUUCUGUAGCAAGGUUAACCGUAUAGGGGAGCCGCAGGGAAACCGAGUCUUAACUGGGCGUUAAGUUGCAGGGUAUAGACCCGAAACCCGGUGAUCUAGCCAUGGGCAGGUUGAAGGUUGGGUAACACUAACUGGAGGACCGAACCGACUAAUGUUGAAAAAUUAGCGGAUGACUUGUGGCUGGGGGUGAAAGGCCAAUCAAACCGGGAGAUAGCUGGUUCUCCCCGAAAGCUAUUUAGGUAGCGCCUCGUGAACUCAUCUUCGGGGGUAGAGCACUGUUUCGGCUAGGGGGUCAUCCCGACUUACCAACCCGAUGCAAACUACGAAUACCGAAGAAUGUUAUCACGGGAGACACACGGCGGGUGCUAACGUCCGUCGUGAAGAGGGAAACAACCCAGACCGCCAGCUAAGGUCCCAAAGUCAUGGUUAAGUGGGAAACGAUGUGGGAAGGCACAGACAGCCAGGAUGUUGGCUUAGAAGCAGCCAUCAUUUAAAGAAAGCGUAAUAGCUCACUGGUCGAGUCGGCCUGCGCGGAAGAUGUAACGGGGCUAAACCAUGCACCGAAGCUGCGGCAGCGACACUAUGUGUUGUUGGGUAGGGGAGCGUUCUGUAAGCCUGCGAAGGUGUGCUGUGAGGCAUGCUGGAGGUAUCAGAAGUGCGAAUGCUGACAUAAGUAACGAUAAAGCGGGUGAAAAGCCCGCUCGCCGGAAGACCAAGGGUUCCUGUCCAACGUUAAUCGGGGCAGGGUGAGUCGACCCCUAAGGCGAGGCCGAAAGGCGUAGUCGAUGGGAAACAGGUUAAUAUUCCUGUACUUGGUGUUACUGCGAAGGGGGGACGGAGAAGGCUAUGUUAGCCGGGCGACGGUUGUCCCGGUUUAAGCAUGUAGGCUGGUUAUCCAGGCAAAUCCGGAUAAUCAAGGCUGAGGUGUGAUGACGAGGCACUACGGUGCUGAAGUAACAAAUGCCCUGCUUCCAGGAAAAGCCUCUAAGCAUCAGGUAACAUCAAAUCGUACCCCAAACCGACACAGGUGGUCAGGUAGAGAAUACCAAGGCGCUUGAGAGAACUCGGGUGAAGGAACUAGGCAAAAUGGUGCCGUAACUUCGGGAGAAGGCACGCUGGUGUGUAGGUGAAGUCCCUGCGGAUGGAGCUGAGACCAGUCGAAGAUACCAGCUGGCUGCAACUGUUUAUUAAAAACACAGCACUGUGCAAACACGAAAGUGGACGUAUACGGUGUGACGCCUGCCCGGUGCCGGAAGGUUAAUUGAUGGGGUUAUCCGUAAGGAGAAGCUCUUGAUCGAAGCCCCGGUAAACGGCGGCCGUAACUAUAACGGUCCUAAGGUAGCGAAAUUCCUUGUCGGGUAAGUUCCGACCUGCACGAAUGGCGUAAUGAUGGCCAGGCUGUCUCCACCCGAGACUCAGUGAAAUUGAACUCGCUGUGAAGAUGCAGUGUACCCGCGGCAAGACGGAAAGACCCCGUGAACCUUUACUAUAGCUUGACACUGAACAUUGAGCCUUGAUGUGUAGGAUAGGUGGGAGGCUUUGAAGCGUGGACGCCAGUCUGCGUGGAGCCAACCUUGAAAUACCACCCUUUAAUGUUUGAUGUUCUAACGUUGGCCCCUGACCGGGGUUGCGGACAGUGUCUGGUGGGUAGUUUGACUGGGGCGGUCUCCUCCCAAAGCGUAACGGAGGAGCACGAAGGUUAGCUAAUCCUGGUCGGACAUCAGGAGGUUAGUGCAAUGGCAUAAGCUAGCUUGACUGCGAGCGUGACGGCGCGAGCAGGUGCGAAAGCAGGUCAUAGUGAUCCGGUGGUUCUGAAUGGAAGGGCCAUCGCUCAACGGAUAAAAGGUACUCCGGGGAUAACAGGCUGAUACCGCCCAAGAGUUCAUAUCGACGGCGGUGUUUGGCAC
RNAcentral lists this ribosomal RNA (2505 nucleotides) under Klebsiella pneumoniae. Its description in RNAcentral is "partial 23S ribosomal RNA". It matches the Rfam family "Bacterial large subunit ribosomal RNA", at positions 1 to 2524 of the family's 2925-position model. The record is from RNAcentral. Lineage: Bacteria; Pseudomonadati; Pseudomonadota; Gammaproteobacteria; Enterobacterales; Enterobacteriaceae.